UUUCACCCCGAUCGACCAAAGCUUAAUUAAUCCCUAAGACGUGUAAAACAUACUUCUUGCUGCUGGCUUUGCUCCUUGGAGUGGUGAUUCUCGCCACUCCCACCAUUGCCGACGACCACAAGCCACCGUCAGCAGAGGAGGAAGCUCUGUAAGAAACCUACCAUGGUAAGCCAUCAAAAUAUAAGUCUUAUAAGCCCCCGCCAAAGCACUACCCACCAAAGGGUAAGGGAGAGAAGCCACCUCAUGGACACUUUCCCGAUCACCCUCCGAUGGAGGAUGUGGACGACUCAUACCACAAGGCACCCACGAAGAAAUAUCCUCCAAAGAAACCACUACACAAGCCUCCUACUUCCAACUGAAUGACUAGCUAGCUAGCCCAUGCUUGAUAAUUAAAUUAUGUUGUACGAUGAAAGUAAAUAAGAGCUUUUAGUGAUGCAAUCCCAUUAUAAGACACUUUUAA
RNAcentral lists this long non-coding RNA (460 nucleotides) under Citrus sinensis (sweet orange). RNAcentral's name for it is "long non-coding RNA (CSIN_LNC003854)". Lineage: Eukaryota; Viridiplantae; Streptophyta; Magnoliopsida; Sapindales; Rutaceae. The record is from RNAcentral.